Molecule: ribosomal RNA, 541 nt
Filed under: uncultured bacterium
Lineage: Bacteria
Description: bacterial SSU rRNA
Rfam family: Bacterial small subunit ribosomal RNA
Source: RNAcentral
GAGGCAGCAGUGGGGAAUUUUGGACAAUGGGGGCAACCCUGAUCCAGCAAUGCCGCGUGUGUGAAGAAGGCCUUCGGGUUGUAAAGCACUUUUGUCCGGAAAGAAAUCGCGCUGGUUAAUACCUGGCGUGGAUGACGGUACCGGAAGAAUAGGCACCGGCUAACUACGUGCCAGCAGCCGCGGUAAUACGUAGGGUGCGAGCGUUAAUCGGAAUUACUGGGCGUAAAGCGUGCGCAGGCGGUUUUGUAAGACAGGCGUGAAAUCCCCGGGCUUAACCUGGGAAUUGCGCUUGUGACUGCAAGGCUAGAGUGCGUCAGAGGGGGGUAGAAUUCCACGUGUAGCAGUGAAAUGCGUAGAGAUGUGGAGGAAUACCGAUGGCGAAGGCAGCCCCCUGGGACGUGACUGACGCUCAUGCACGAAAGCGUGGGGAGCAAACAGGAUUAGAUACCCUGGUAGUCCACGCCCUAAACGAUGUCAACUAGUUGUUGGGGAUUCAUUUUCUCAGUAACGUAGCUAACGCGUGAAGUUGACCGCCUGGGGA